AGCAGCCGCGGUAAUUCCAGCUCCAAUAGCGUAUAUUAAAGUUGUUGCAGUUAAAAAGCUCGUAGUUGAAUUUCGGGAUCAAAUUGUCGGUCGUGCCUCGGUACGUACUGGUAUUAUUGGUUCCUCCCUUCUGACGAACCACGAUGUCAUUAAUUUGGUGUCAUGGGAAAUCAGGACUGUUACUUUGAAAAAAUUAGAGUGUUUAAAGCAGGCUCGCGCUUGAAUACAUUAGCAUGGAAUAAUGAAAUAGGACGUUUGAUUCUAUUUUGUUGGUUUCUAGGAUCGACGUAAUGAUUAAUAGGGAUAGUUGGGGGCAUUAGUAUUCAAUUGUCAGAGGUGAAAUUCUUGGAUUUAUUGAAGACUAACUACUGCGAAAGCAUUUGCCAAGGAUGUUUUCAUUAAUCAAGAACGAAAGUUAGGGGAUCGAAGACGAUCAGAUACCGUCGUAGUCUUAACCAUAAACUAUGCCGACUAGGGAUCGGAUGAUGUUAAUUUUUAAUGACUCACUUCGGCGCCUUAA
RNAcentral lists this ribosomal RNA (520 nucleotides) under uncultured Glomus. RNAcentral describes it as "SSU rRNA". It matches the Rfam family "Eukaryotic small subunit ribosomal RNA", at positions 569 to 1091 of the family's 1831-position model. Lineage: Eukaryota; Fungi; Glomeromycota; Glomeromycetes; Glomerales; Glomeraceae. The record is from RNAcentral.